CUGCUAUCAAGAGUGUCCGUUAAGUUCCUGUCUUCACCACAAUAGAUGUGCUAAGGGAAGUACUGGACUUACAAUUCAUUUAGACUUUGAAGAACCAUAGCAUUUUAAUGGUUCUGGAGUUAUCUGAAACAUUAUUAGAGAGAAAAAGAGAGAGAGAGAUGAAGCGUGUGUGAUCACCUGUUGGCACUCCCAAGCAGAUAUGCUGUCAGCGUUCUGAAGAGUGACAAAUACUGGUAGAUAUUCCCGAAAGCUGCUGGACUCCUGAGGGUUGGGGAAAGCCCAGCGGGAGAGACUAGUUGAGGGGCUGCUCUCUCUUGGCCUUGCCUCAUCUCUGUUAUUCUUGCUUACCUG
This is a long non-coding RNA of Xyrauchen texanus (razorback sucker), 351 nucleotides long. RefSeq lists it as uncharacterized. The transcript is spliced from 3 exons. The record is from RefSeq and is a predicted model, not a curated record. Lineage: Eukaryota; Metazoa; Chordata; Actinopteri; Cypriniformes; Catostomidae.